GCAUCGAUGAAGAACGCAGCCAGCUGCGUGAACUAAUGUGAAUUGCAGGACACAUUGAACAUCGACACUUUGAACGCAUAUUGCGGCCAAGGGUCCGUGCUUUGGCCACGCCCGUCUGAGGGUCGGC
RNAcentral lists this ribosomal RNA (127 nucleotides) under Hexaplex trunculus. RNAcentral describes it as "partial 5.8S ribosomal RNA". It matches the Rfam family "5.8S ribosomal RNA", at positions 30 to 154 of the family's 154-position model. From Rfam's summary of the family: 5.8S ribosomal RNA (5.8S rRNA) is a component of the large subunit of the eukaryotic ribosome. Lineage: Eukaryota; Metazoa; Mollusca; Gastropoda; Neogastropoda; Muricidae. The record is from RNAcentral.